RNAcentral lists this transfer RNA (77 nucleotides) under Rhodoferax sp. RNAcentral describes it as "tRNA-Glu". It matches the Rfam family "tRNA". From Rfam's summary of the family: Transfer RNA (tRNA) molecules are approximately 80 nucleotides in length. The record is from RNAcentral. Lineage: Bacteria; Pseudomonadati; Pseudomonadota; Betaproteobacteria; Burkholderiales; Comamonadaceae.
GUCGGUAUCGUCUAGCGGCUUAGGACACUGGGUUUUCAUCCCAGUAGACAGGGGUUCGAAUCCCCUUACCGACUCCA